This 64-nucleotide non-coding RNA is filed under the name Thalassionema nitzschioides. The record is from RNAcentral. Lineage: Eukaryota; Bacillariophyta; Fragilariophyceae; Thalassionematales; Thalassionemataceae.
UAUUUAUCAUUAUUUGGAUUCUCUACUUUUCUUUUUCUUCUUUUUUUCCUUUUUCUUCUGUUUC